UACAGAGGGGGCAAGCGUUGUUCGGAAUUACUGGGCGUAAAGGGUGUGUAGGCGGUUCUUUAAGUUUGGUGUGAAAUCUCCCGGCUCAACCGGGAGGGUGCGCCGAAUACUGAGGGACUAGAGUGCGGGAGAGGAAAGUGGAAUUCCUGGUGUAGCGGUGAAAUGCGUAGAUAUCAGGAGGAACACCGGUGGUGUAGACGGCUUUCUGGACCGUAACUGACGCUGAGACACGAAAGCGUGGGUAGCAAACAGG
RNAcentral lists this ribosomal RNA (253 nucleotides) under uncultured bacterium. RNAcentral's name for it is "partial 16S ribosomal RNA". It matches the Rfam family "Bacterial small subunit ribosomal RNA", at positions 524 to 776 of the family's 1533-position model. The record is from RNAcentral.